CAUUGAAUGGCUGAAAUGAAAGCAUUGGUCUCUUAAACCAUUUUAUAGUACCACCUACUUUCAAUGG
This 67-nucleotide transfer RNA is filed under the name Ornithodoros tholozani. RNAcentral describes it as "tRNA-Lys". Lineage: Eukaryota; Metazoa; Arthropoda; Arachnida; Ixodida; Argasidae. The record is from RNAcentral.